This 73-nucleotide transfer RNA is filed under the name Markhamia cauda-felina. RNAcentral's name for it is "tRNA-Lys". Lineage: Eukaryota; Viridiplantae; Streptophyta; Magnoliopsida; Lamiales; Bignoniaceae. The record is from RNAcentral.
CACUAUUCCUCCCCACUAAAAAUAAAAAGAGCGAUUGAGAAUCUCGAGAACCUCUGUCUUCGCGGGGCGAUUG